RNAcentral lists this long non-coding RNA (3054 nucleotides) under Callithrix jacchus (white-tufted-ear marmoset). Its description in RNAcentral is "lncRNA (ENSCJAG00000077399.1)". Lineage: Eukaryota; Metazoa; Chordata; Mammalia; Primates; Cebidae. The record is from RNAcentral.
AUAGAUAUAUUUUUAAUAACAGCCUCGUCAAGAUGUGAUUCAUCUGCCAUACAAUUCACCUGUUCACGGUGUGGACAGUUCAGUGUUCAGCAUAUUCAGAGCCCAACAAUUCACCUGUUCACGGUGUGUACAGUUCAGUGUUCAGCAUAUUCAGAGCCCAACAAUUCACCUGUUCACGGUGUGGACAGUUCAGUGUUCAGCAUAUUCAGAGCCCAACAAUUCAUCUGUUCACGGUGUGUACAGUUCAGUGUUCAGCAUAUUCAGAGCCCAACAAUUCACCUGUUUCCGGUGUGUACAGUUCAGUGUUCAGCAUAUUCAGAGCCCAACAAUUCACCUGUUUCCGGUGUGUACAGUUCAGUGUUCAGCAUAUUCAGAGCCCAACAAUUCACCUGUUCACGGUGUGGACAGUUCAGUGUUCAGCAUAUUCAGAGCCCAACAAUUCACCUGUUCACGGUGUGGACAGUUCAGUGUUCAGCAUAUUCAGAGCCCAACAAUUCACCUGUUCACGGUGUGGACAGUUCAGUGUUCAGCAUAUUCAGAGCCCAACAAUUCACCUGUUCACGGUGUGGACAGUUCAGUGUUCAGCAUAUUCAGAGCCCAACAAUUCACCUGUUCACGGUGUGUACAGUUCAGUGUUCAGCAUAUUCAGAGCCCAACAAUUCACCUGUUUCCGGUGUGGACAGUUCAGUGUUCAGCAUAUUCAGAGCCCAACAAUUCACCUGUUCACGGUGUGGACAGUUCAGUGUUCAGCAUAUUCAGAGCCCAACAAUUCACCUGUUUCCGGUGUGGACAGUUCAGUGUUCAGCAUAUUCAGAGCCCAACAAUUCACCUGUUCACGGUGUGGACAGUUCAGUGUUCAGCAUAUUCAGAGCCCAACAAUUCACCUGUUCACGGUGUGUACAGUUCAGUGUUCAGCAUAUUCAGAGCCCAACAAUUCACCUGUUUCCGGUGUGUACAGUUCAGUGUUCAGCAUAUUCAGAGCCCAACAAUUCACCUGUUUCCGGUGUGGACAGUUCAGUGUUCAGCAUAUUCAGAGCCCAACAAUUCACCUGUUCCCGGUGUGGACAGUUCAGUGUUCAGCAUAUUCAGAGCCCAACAAUUCACCUGUUUCCGGUGUGUACAGUUCAGUGUUCAGCAUAUUCAGAGCCCAACAAUUCAUCUGUUCACGGUGUGUACAGUUCAGUGUUCAGCAUAUUCAGAGCCCAACAAUUCACCUGUUUCCGGUGUGUACAGUUCAGUGUUCAGCAUAUUCAGAGCCCAACAAUUCACCUGUUCACGGUGUGGACAGUUCAGUGUUCAGCAUAUUCAGAGCCCAACAAUUCACCUGUUCACGGUGUGGACAGUUCAGUGUUCAGCAUAUUCAGAGCCCAACAAUUCACCUGUUUCCGGUGUGGACAGUUCAGUGUUCAGCAUAUUCAGAGCCCAACAAUUCACCUGUUCACGGUGUGGACAGUUCAGUGUUCAGCAUAUUCAGAGCCCAACAAUUCACCUGUUCACGGUGUGGACAGUUCAGUGUUCAGCAUAUUCAGAGCCCAACAAUUCACCUGUUUCCGGUGUGGACAGUUCAGUGUUCAGCAUAUUCAGAGCCCAACAAUUCACCUGUUCACGGUGUGGACAGUUCAGUGUUCAGCAUAUUCAGAGCCCAACAAUUCACCUGUUCACGGUGUGGACAGUUCAGUGUUCAGCAUAUUCAGAGCCCAACAAUUCACCUGUUUCCGGUGUGGACAGUUCAGUCUUCAGCAUAUUCAGAGCCAUACAAUUCACCUGUUUCCGGUGUGGACAGUUCAGUGUUCAGCAUAUUCAGAGCCCAACAAUUCACCUGUUUCCGGUGUGGACAGUUCAGUGUUCAGCAUAUUCAGAGCCCAACAAUUCACCUGUUUCCGGUGUGGACAGUUCAGUGUUCAGCAUAUUCAGAGCCCAACAAUUCACCUGUUCAUGGUGUGUACAGUUCAGUGUUCAGCAUAUUCAGAGCCCAACAAUUCACCUGUUUCCGGUGUGGACAGUUCAGUGUUCAGCAUAUUCAGAGCCCAACAAUUCACCUGUUUCCGGUGUGGACAGUUCAGUCUUCAGCAUAUUCAGAGCCCAACAAUUCACCUGUUCAUGGUGUGUACAGUUCAAUGUUCAGCAUAUUCAGAGCCCAACAAUUCACCUGUUCACGGUGUGGACAGUUCAGUGUUCAGCAUAUUCAGAGCCCAACAAUUCACCUGUUUCCGGUGUGGACAGUUCAGUGUUCAGCAUAUUCAGAGCCCAACAAUUCACCUGUUCACGGUGUGGACAGUUCAGUGUUCAGCAUAUUCAGAGCCCAACAAUUCAUCUGUUCACGGUGUGGACAGUUCAGUGUUCAGCAUAUUCAGAGCCCAACAAUUCACCUGUUUCCGGUGUGUACAGUUCAGUGUUCAGCAUAUUCAGAGCCCAACAAUUCACCUGUUUCCGGUGUGGACAGUUCAGUGUUCAGCAUAUUCAGAGCCAUACAAUUCACCUGUUCACGGUGUGGACAGUUCAGUGUUCAGCAUAUUCAGAGCCCAACAAUUCACCUGUUUCCGGUGUGGACAGUUCAGUGUUCAGCAUAUUCAGAGCCAUACAAUUCACCUGUUCACGGUGUGGACAGUUCAGUGUUCAGCAUAUUCAGAGCCCAACAAUUCACCUGUUUCCGGUGUGGACAGUUCAGUGUUCAGCAUAUUCAGAGCCCAACAAUUCACCUGUUCACGGUGUGGACAGUUCAGUGUUCAGCAUAUUCAGAGCCCAACAAUUCACCUGUUCACGGUGUGGACAGUUCAGUGUUCAGCAUAUUCAGAGCCCAACAAUUCACCUGUUUCCGGUGUGGACAGUUCAGUGUUCAGCAUAUUCAGAGCCCAACAAUUCACCUGUUCACGGUGUGGACAGUUCAGUGUUCAGCAUAUUCAGAGCCAUACAAUUCACCUGUUUCCGGUGUGGACAGUUCAGUGUUUAGCAUAUUCAGAGCUGGACAGCUAUCAGUGCCAUCAACCUGAAAACGUUUUCAUUACCCUAAAAAAAAACCCUUCUCUCCUCAUUCCCCUCUUCCUCCAAACCUAG